UACGGGGGGAGCAAGCGUUGUUCGGAUUUACUGGGCGUAAAGGGCGCGUAGGCGGCCAGUGCAAGUCAGUUGUGAAAUCUCCGAGCUUAACUCGGAAAGGUCAACUGAUACUGCUCGGCUAGAGUGCGGAAGGGGCAACUGGAAUUCUUGGUGUAGCGGUGAAAUGCGUAGAUAUCAAGAGGAACACCUGCGGCGAAGGCGGGUUGCUGGGCCGACACUGACGCUGAAGCGCGAAAGCUGGGGGAGCAAACGGG
RNAcentral lists this ribosomal RNA (254 nucleotides) under uncultured bacterium. RNAcentral's name for it is "partial 16S ribosomal RNA". It matches the Rfam family "Bacterial small subunit ribosomal RNA", at positions 524 to 776 of the family's 1533-position model. The record is from RNAcentral.